Molecule: ribosomal RNA, 160 nt
Filed under: Marasmius sp. HKAS 49088
Lineage: Eukaryota; Fungi; Basidiomycota; Agaricomycetes; Agaricales; Marasmiaceae
Description: 5.8S ribosomal RNA
Rfam family: 5.8S ribosomal RNA (bases 1-94)
About the family: 5.8S ribosomal RNA (5.8S rRNA) is a component of the large subunit of the eukaryotic ribosome.
Source: RNAcentral
AGUAAUGUGAAUUGCAGAAUUCAGUGAAUCAUCGAAUCUUUGAACGCACCUUGCGCCUCUUGGUAUUCCGAGAGGCAUGCCUGUUUGAGUGUCAUUAAAUUCUCAACCUCUUAAGCUUUUUUGUUUCUGAGGCUUGGAUGUGGAGGCUUUGCGGGCUCGU